RNAcentral lists this long non-coding RNA (479 nucleotides) under Homo sapiens (human). RNAcentral's name for it is "HSALNT0312156". The record is from RNAcentral. Lineage: Eukaryota; Metazoa; Chordata; Mammalia; Primates; Hominidae.
CUUUGAUAUCCCAACCUAUUAUUCAUAGUCUACUGAAGAGUUUUUUUAUCAUGAAGAAAUGUUGAAUUAUAUCAAAUUAUUUUCAAUCAAAUGAGAUCAUGUUAACAGGAGUAUGUUAUUCCUGUUAGGAAUUCCAUAUUAGGAAUAUGUUAUUCCUAAUAUGUUAACAGGAAUCAUUCCCAUCAGUAAAUGUUAUUUAAAGCAAAAAAACUCAAAACUCUUCUUUCCUUCCCUUGCCUUUUACAGUAAAAUGCCAUUUCCCAUUCUCUUCUGAACUCACCUCUACCAAAACUGCUCAUUAAGGUCACUAGCUGUCUUUCACUUAAGCCAAAAAGCCUAGGAUCUCCUCUGACAAAUUUUCUCCCCCUCAUCCUCCUCACCCCAUUCUUCAAUCUUUUAGCAAAUCCAGCUGCCUGUACAAUCCAUGCCACCGAAUGCCGUAAGUGAGACGUAAAAGUUACGAUACUGAAGAGACGUAA